Molecule: ribosomal RNA, 797 nt
Filed under: Triticum aestivum (bread wheat)
Lineage: Eukaryota; Viridiplantae; Streptophyta; Magnoliopsida; Poales; Poaceae
Description: partial small subunit ribosomal RNA
Source: RNAcentral
GGGAAAGAGGUGUAGUGUUCGCCGCCUCCGCAGCGGCCUCUGGCGCCGCCCUCCUCGAGCGCGUCACCUGCGGGGCUGCCGCACCUCUCCUCGAGUACGGGCUCCGCCUCCUCGAGCACGCACCGGCGCCGCCCUCCUCGAGCACGCCACCUACGGGGCCGCCUUACCCCUCCUCGAGCACGUGACCUACGGGGCCGCCUCACCCCUCCUCGAGCACGACACCUACGCAGCCACCGCACCCCUCCACGAGCGCGGGUACCGUCUCCUCGAGCACACACCGGAGCCGCCCGCCUCCUCGAGUACGCACCGGAGCCGCCCCGCGACGUGCUCUACUCCGCCGUCGAUCUCGACGCGUCCCGCGCGCACCUACUGGAGCGGUAUCGGUCCUCCUCCCGGAAGCGCGCUCCCGCAGCUCGCGGCAUCCCUCGAGGAGGUCCGCGUCUAGCUCGCCCACAACGGCGAGGGUUCCCGGGAGCGACGGCGCAUAGCUGAUCACGUCCUUCGGUUUCUACCCAACAGACGUCUCUUCCGCGCCGAACCCCCAACAGGAUUCGUCGUCAGGUAGCAUCGGAUCCAGUGACGGUACAUGGGACACUGACAGAAGGCGCUGGAAGGUCAAUGUCUUUUGGUAGCAAGACUACGAGUAUACGGAGGAGGUUCGUUGUUACAAAGACCCUGUUUAGUUUGAAAAAAUUUGCUACGGUUUUUUACGGGAACGAACCGUUUAAAUGAAGUAAAAAACGGUACCGUUUUCAUGAAAAUAAGUGUGCCGUUUUAAAUCAAAUUGAACGGUACCG